UACGUAGGGUGCAAGCGUUAAUCGGAAUUACUGGGCGUAAAGCGUGCGCAGGCGGUCCGCUAAGACCGAUGUGAAAUCCCCGGGCUUAACCUGGGAACUGCAUUGGUGACUGGCGGGCUAGAGUGUGGCAGAGGGGGGUAGAAUUCCACGUGUAGCAGUGAAAUGCGUAGAGAUGUGGAGGAAUACCGAUGGCGAAGGCAGCCCCCUGGGCUAACACUGACGCUCAUGCACGAAAGCGUGGGGAGCAAACAGG
Molecule: ribosomal RNA, 253 nt
Filed under: uncultured bacterium
Lineage: Bacteria
Description: partial 16S ribosomal RNA
Rfam family: Bacterial small subunit ribosomal RNA
Source: RNAcentral